CGGAGCGUAGCUCAACUUGGCAGUCUGUUGUACUAUCUGUCCGACAGGUCAUGAGCUAUGGACUGUAGAGAGCGGCUGUUGUGAUGGCUGGUCACAGUUAUCCAUCGGUUGCCGGUUCAAAUCCGGCCGCUCCGACCA
Molecule: transfer RNA, 138 nt
Filed under: Candidatus Thorarchaeota archaeon
Lineage: Archaea; Promethearchaeati; Candidatus Thorarchaeota
Description: tRNA-OTHER
Source: RNAcentral